GACGAACCGUGCGAACGUUGUUCGGAAUCACUGGGCUUAAAGGGCGCGUAGGCGGUCUGUCAAGUCUGGGGUGAAAUGCCGCGGCUCAACCGUGGAACUGCCUUAGAUACUGACGGCCUCGAGGAAGGUAGGGGCAUGCGGAACUGUAGGUGGAGCGGUGAAAUGCGUUGAUAUCUACAGGAACUCCGGUGGCGAAAGCGGCGUGCUGGACCUUUUCUGACGCUGAGGCGCGAAAGCUAGGGGAGCAAACGGG
RNAcentral lists this ribosomal RNA (253 nucleotides) under uncultured bacterium. RNAcentral describes it as "partial 16S ribosomal RNA". It matches the Rfam family "Bacterial small subunit ribosomal RNA", at positions 524 to 776 of the family's 1533-position model. The record is from RNAcentral.